AGAGGAGGGCAGGGUCUGCUCUCUGACCACUGCUGUGUAAUACAGGGAGAGAGGCUAAACGGUGCUCUCAUGCAUGGGUGGGCACCAUGUGAGGGUGGACGCCAUCAUGGGUGGGUGCGGUCCAAAGGGGGCAUGCGCUAUGUUUUAGGCGGAGGAGGAAAUUUAAACAUUGUUCUUUCUCCAUCUUUUCUGCACGCUCUAUCUUUUAAUUUUUUGAAAACUAAAGACAGACAAGAGGAUUCAGAGGACUUGGAAAUGGCUGCCUGGCCGUAGGGGAUCGGCCCUCACCUGUGACAUCCCACUCCUUCAACUGUGCCUUGGCUCCCGUGAAAGCUUGCUCGUGGCAUCUUCCUUCCAUCGCAUGCAGUGGGAGUUAGUAAGGACUCUCCCCUCUGUGCUGCUGGAGGUACGUGAGGUCUGGGCAGAGGCAGGUAUGGAAAUCCACAAACAAUGGAUGCAACUGCAAGUGAGAACAGGCCAUUCGGACUGAAGGUGACCUUGGAGAAGGUUCUGCGAAGCCUGGCUCAUUUCCAGCCGACUGAGGAAAAGCAGGAGACUGUAUCGGUCAACAGCGGAAGUCCUCAGCUCAGCUAGAGACAGUGUUCCAGCUGCAGUCUGUUACCAGUGUUCUUCAGUCCCUCCUUUUCUCUGUGCCAGCACAGACAGACGGAGCUAAGUGACAAGGGUCUGCGCCACCCCAGGUCACAGUCACUUGUGCUCUCACCGCCCGUGUAGAUGGGGAUGCGAGGCAAGAGAGCUCCUGCAGAGGGGGCAUAGCCUUUGGUUCGAGUGGAGAGCUGUUCUUUGAAAUCUUUUCAUGCCAAAGAGAAGGGAUACAACAGAGUGCCGGCCACCAUGUCCACGCUCUCAGAAAGAGGAAUGUUCUGGAAGCAAAGCAUGGCCUGAGUGGCUCUCGAGAUGUGAGCUCAGCUAAACUAAGACUUACUUCAUCCUUCAGACCUGCAGCCUCGGAGCUUCAGAGUGAGGCCUUGAAUGGCCCCACCAAUGGGAUAAAGAAAUAAUUGCUGGUGAUUUCAGUUGCCCUGUAGGUGAGGGAUCAAUAUAUCAGAGAGGACUGCUUACCAAACUUUGUACAGGAGUCUGGAAAUUUUGACUGUGUCUCCGAAGUGUGUAACAGUUAAUAGAUAGCAGAAUGUGAGCCUCUGUGUGGAUGGGUUUCUAUGCCCUUGGGAAUCCUGCGAGAUAAAUCUGUUUUCUCUUUUUAUUAUAAGACUUUUGUCACCAGCUGCACUUGAGUUUUCAUACAGAGAAACCCCCAAAUCACACCGCAUGAAGUGUCACAAAUCACACACGCGAUCUGUAGCCAUGCGUGACAAAGGGACCUCGGUUCAGCACUGAAGUUCUGCAGAAAGGCAUUUCACCUUAUCUCCUCAGAUCUUAUAUUUUUUUUCCUCAAGCCCUCAUUUCCAUUAUAUUCAUUUUCGGAGUGGCACAUGGAGGUAACAUUUUUCCAUAGCCAAUUAUCUUGGGCCGAUCUCCGGCUCUUUCCUUACUCCUUCACAAAAUGCAGGCAGUAGCUGAUGCUAUGUUUCACUCAAAUUAUCCGUUGCUGUAACGCAGGAUUUAAAGCAUGUGCCUGGUUUUUAUUGACUAGGCUUAUUUCUUGUCAUUGUCUGUUCCCUUACCAUGACCUGAUCGACUAUUCUAAUAAAGAGGUUCUAGCAUUCUCUUUUCAAUA
RNAcentral lists this long non-coding RNA (1699 nucleotides) under Mus musculus (house mouse). RNAcentral describes it as "RIKEN cDNA 6720468P15 gene". The record is from RNAcentral. Lineage: Eukaryota; Metazoa; Chordata; Mammalia; Rodentia; Muridae.